RNAcentral lists this ribosomal RNA (397 nucleotides) under uncultured bacterium. RNAcentral describes it as "partial 16S ribosomal RNA". It matches the Rfam family "Bacterial small subunit ribosomal RNA", at positions 338 to 732 of the family's 1533-position model. The record is from RNAcentral.
CCUACGGGGGGCAGCAGUGAGGAAUAUUGGUCAAUGGGCUUACGCCUGAACCAGCCAAGUCGCGUGAGGGAAGACUGCCCUAUGGGUUGUAAACCUCUUUUGUCAGGGAGCAACGCCGGCUACGUGUAGCCGGACUGAGAGUACCUGAAGAAAAAGCAUCGGCUAACACCGUGCCAGCAGCCGCGUUAAUACGGAGGAUGCGAGCGUUAUCCGGAUUUAUUGGGUUAACAGGGUGCGUAGGCGGAAAGCCAGUUCAGCGGUAAAAUCGAGGGGUCAACCCUCGCACUGCCGUUGAAACUGGCGUUCUUGAGUGGGCGAGAAGUAUGCGGAAUGCGUGGUGUAGCGGUGAAAUGCAUAGAUAUCACGAAGAACUCCGAUUGCGAAGGCAGCAUACCGG